RNAcentral lists this long non-coding RNA (223 nucleotides) under Carica papaya (papaya). Its description in RNAcentral is "long non-coding RNA (CPAP_LNC016561)". Lineage: Eukaryota; Viridiplantae; Streptophyta; Magnoliopsida; Brassicales; Caricaceae. The record is from RNAcentral.
AAUAGUUGGGUGUUACAAUUUACCUUAAACAUUUACUUUCUAUACAAAUAGGAAUUGAAGUGUGAGGAUACAUUAUAAGGAUUGAUGUGUGCACAGGAUCAAUCAGAUACGGCGAGUAUAGAAAAGAGUUUUUUGACAUGUUAAUUGCAUGAUACAACAAGCUUAGCUAUAGAUCAUAAAUUUUAUUAAUUUGCACAACUAGAAAAGUAAAAGUUAAAAAUCU